RNAcentral lists this ribosomal RNA (580 nucleotides) under Glomeromycotina sp. RNAcentral describes it as "eukaryotic LSU rRNA". It matches the Rfam family "Eukaryotic large subunit ribosomal RNA", at positions 110 to 629 of the family's 3401-position model. Lineage: Eukaryota; Fungi; Glomeromycota. The record is from RNAcentral.
CAAAUUUAAAAUCUACCUGGUUUCCAGGUCGAGUUGUAAUUUGAAGAUACGUUUUUGACGUUCCGGGUUGAACUAAAUCCUUUGGGAUAAGGUAUCAUGGAGGGUGAGAAUCCCGUAUAUACCAACCRUAGGGAUGUUAUUUAAUACGUUUCUAAGAGUCGAGUUGUUUGGGAAUGCAGCUCUAAAUGGGUGGUAAAUUUCACCUAAUGCUAAAUAUAAGCGAGAGACCGAUAGCGAACAAGUACAGUGAUGGAAAGAUGAAAAGAACUUUGAAAAGAGAGUUAAAUAGUAYGUGAAAUUGUUGAAAGGGAAACGAUUGAAGUCMGUCMUGCCVGUGGGAAUCAACUUWGAGGAAACUCUGAGUGCACUUCUUCGCUUGGCAGGUCAACGUCGAUUUUGGAUGUCAUAAAAUGAUUGGGGGAAGGUAGCYCYYUCGGGAGUGUUAUAGCCCUUGGUAGAUGUGAUGUCUGGGAUCGAGGAUUGCAAUGGAUACCCUUUGGGGCUAGCCGCCUGAUCUCUAAUYGGUAUUGGGUUACGGAUAGCAUGCUGACCGUGAUCUAAUUAUUGGUUAAAAGGUUAG